Balaenoptera acutorostrata (minke whale) is the source of this 4670-nucleotide long non-coding RNA. RefSeq lists it as uncharacterized. The record is from RefSeq and is a predicted model, not a curated record. NCBI's taxonomy places the organism in Eukaryota, Metazoa, Chordata, Mammalia, Artiodactyla, Balaenopteridae. The transcript is spliced from 10 exons.
CACCUCAAUGUUCACUGCAGCACUAUUUACAAUAGCCAGGUCAUGGAAGCAACCUAAAUGCCCAUUGACAGACGAAUGGAUAAAGAAGAUGUGGCACAUAUAUACAAUGGAAUAUUACUCAGCUACAAAAAAGGAACGAAACUGGGUCAUUUGUAGAGACGUGGAUGGACCUAGAGACUGUCAUACAGAGUGAAGCAUUCAGUUCACGAAAACGAGAACCAUGACAAUGGCCAGUGGCAGCAUACCCAGACAUCACUGAAAAAGAAUAACUGUGUCAUGUUGAUGACAGACAGAAGAAUACGUAAAACCGAAGGAAGGAGGUAAAAAACCAAAACAGAGCAUACUGCACAAUAUUCGGAAAAGAAUUUAGGACUGGGCAUGGGGGAGAAGGGGACGUGAAAGCUGUCGACGAAAAUUCAAUUAAUGAUCAAGUUAAGAAGAAAAAAAGGGAAUUUUAUAUGAGCCAAACUGAGAAUUAUAACCCGGGAGACAGACUCUCAGAAGCUCUGAGAACUUGUUCCGCCUGUUAGAAGUCGAAGGCACAGUCAUAUACAUUUUUGAGACGAAGGAUGGUACAUCAAAAUGACGUACUGAUAUUUUACAUAAAGUUCACCAAGGAUACAUGGUCCAGCAAUGACACCCUUUCCCCAUCCGCUUCCUUGCAGACAACCAAUGAUAUCAGUUUCUUGCAAGCCUUCCACAGAUAUUUUAUGUACAGUAAGUCCCCUACAUACGAACCUUCAAGUUGCGAACUUUCAGAGAUGAGAACGUGUGUUCGCAUGUCCAAUCAUGUCUCAGCCUAAACCUCUGUCUCUCAUGCAAGAUGUGCCAACGUCUGCCUCCCAACCGAAAUCAGAUCCGCUGACCGCUCAUCAUCGUGGUGUCUUUUCAUGGUGCUGCUGGCAGCUUGAAUAGACAAACUCUUAGAGAACUUUAGAUGACUGCAGCUCCAGGUGAAACCUGAAGAAUAAAACCUCAUGAGAAACCCUGAGCCAGAACAACCCAUUUUCUUCAUCUUUGAAAUUGGAUAGAUAAUAAGAGUAUCUACUUCGGAAGGCUGCUAUAAGGGUUAUAAAAGCCAAGCUUUGUGAAGAGCUCAGACCAUCUGCUGUCUCUGAUGAGAAUCUCAGUAGAAGACACUGACCCUCACGGAAAUAAAUUAUUGAACACAUACGAACAGGUAUUCAUAGAAGCUAUCACAACUAAACAAAGGCGAACCGAAUCUCGGAAAGUGGCAGUUCCAGCCUGAUGACUGAAUUUAACUCGAAACAAGAUGAGCGAAGGCGGCAACAUCUCCCAGUGACCAGCAGGGGUCACUCGACAACCAGAAAACGAAUAGAAGGCGCGUGCGUUCCGGCGGCUGAACCGCCGGGGCCAAAGAUGCUCCCGUGCGAGGUAGCAGGAUGUCCUCUGGGGACGCACAGAACCCACUCAACACCCUAACCCAAAACCGAAAAACAGAAACGCACUUCUCAGAAAGGACGUUUUCCUCUGGAUAAAAGGGGCAAACCUGGGGCCCAACUCUGGAGCCCUGCAUGGAGUCGCUGGAACUGGAGUCCACGAGGACGGAAGAGACACAAGGGGAGAAACUCUCUGCUGAGUCGGAUGCAACCUGAUCCGACUUCAGAGACGCAGAACAGAGAGCCCAGCCUCCAGCUGCUCUGUUUCAAUGUCUGCUGUAAACAAAGGUGUGUCCUCAGUGAUGCUUUGUCUUCCGAUUCCUGAAUCAUUCUCUGAGAGGAUCUUCAAGAGGAUGGAUUAGUCGUAAAGGUAGCAGGGAACUUUCCUGAGAAUGUGCUAUAUUUCGCUCUGCCCUGAGGGCUCACUGACCCUGUGAAUGUCUGAUAACCCACAAAGGGGCCCUCCGAUGUGGACAGCACUUUAAGGACGAUGGUAAAACUGAGCUUCUCAGAGCCCAGGUUCGGUAGAUGUAUGCUCUCAACACCCAUGCUGUUUGACUGUAAAUCUCAGGCCAGAGGACAUAAAGGAACUUAAAAUUCAACUGUUCCUAUCACCGUCUGAUGCUCAGGUUCCUUCGAUGGCAGCUCUGUCAGCUGGUGGCCUUGCUGUGGUCGCACGUUACCGUGAUGGGGACCCGUGGGUCUCUUUACAUCUCCACCUGUAAGAGAUGCCGUACGGUUGGCUGGAGAAAACCUCUGUGCCUGGAGGGUCAAUACAGGAAGACUGAUUUCCCCUGACAGUACUUCCCACAUCUGAAGGGCGUUAUUCUGAAUGUCCCAUGUGUGAGUGUUCCCCAGAGAAACAGACCCAUAGGAGAUUUCCUAUAAGAAUUGGCUCACGUGAUUACGGAGGCUGAGAAGGUCUAUGAUCUGCCGUCUGCAAGCUUGGAACCAGGAAAGCUGGUGGUGUGGUUCAAUCUGAGCUGAAGGCCUGAGGCCCUGGGAAGCUGGUGGUGUGAGUUCCGGUCCAAGUCCAAAAGCUCAAGAAUCAGGGGCGGAUGGUAUAGGUCCUGGAGUCUGAAGGCUGAUAUCCGAGGGCAGGGAAGAUGGAUGGCUCGGAGAGAGCGAAUCAGCCCUUCCUGCCCCUUUGUCUUCCAUCCAGGCCCUCGGGAGAUUAGAUGUCAUCUACCCACAACAUCUAAUGAUCAAAGAAGUAAAAAUGAAGAAUAAGUAAUGAACAGAUGACCAGAUGUCUUCCCCAGCUUCCCUUUCAGUUAUCUUGUGAACAAACGGUGUGAACAAGAUAACAUCUAAAGAAAAAUCACGAGGGGUUGACAAGUCUACACACAAUGGGGGAUGGUGAGGACUCUGACCCCCUAUCUCAAUGAGUAACUGAGAGUACUUCACUUUUUCCCUUUAAAAAGUUUAAUGGCCAAGCAGAAUCUUUAGAGUUGGUUUUUGGGGACAUGAAUCACCUUCCCCCCAGACUGUGGGGCUUUUCUGAUUAAAAGCAACUUUCCUUUCUACCAACACUUGCCUCUCAAGCGUUGAUUUUUGAGCAGUGUGCAGCUGGGCCUGAGUUUGGCAACGUUAUUAUUAUUUAUUGUUUAUUUAACAUCUUAGCUGUGGGCUACAAAAAUGCUGAAUACUGCCAUCAGUCACCUGGUGGAUGGCGGUGUUCCCAUCCAGUCUGCUAAAUCUCUGUCAAGUGACAAGAACACAGGGCCUCAGGAUAGGAUGUUUUUGCAGACACAUUGCUUAAACCACAAAGCAGAUCGUGUUGGGGGUCUGGCUCCAAGAAGGGAGUCAAAUGGAAAGAGAUGAGGCCAUAAAAGCAUCAUUAAUGCUGCGUCCUGGGCUCCUGAGUCUGUCAUGCACAUCCUGCAGUGCUUCAGUGCAUUUCUGUUUAAAAGUUGCUUCCUCAGAGUGCAAAUCUUUACUUGCUUUUAUCUUUCUAAACAAAACUUAUAUUCUCAAGUUGAGUUGCACAUUCCCAUAAGAAGAAUCGUGCUGGAUGUGCACAAUAAAGAUAGGGGAUGUUUCUGCCCAAUCUUCCUGUGUGCUUGGUUCAGACAGAAUUGCUCUGCUCUAGGCAGUGAUCUUGGAAGCUGCUGGCCACCGUGGGUUCCUAAAUGGUUUUGGAAGCUGCUGGAAACCAUCGGAAUUCGCAGCAGAAGGGAAACAGCUGUGCUUGCUGCAGGGGAAUUCAGGAUGCGAGCUCCUGGCUCUUCCUCAUUUCAGUCACACUCACAGUGGCUCUGUGCUGAUGGUGAAAAAUGCCUCUUUCCAGUGGGAUUCUGUUACAGCCAUCAAUCUUCAACACACAAAUGGUGAGCUGGUUUCAACCAAGAUAGUUAUUCCUUCACUUGACAACACAUAUCUAACUUUUAAGAUCUAGUUAACCGUUUUCAUUGACCAAAUGAUGUGUAAUUAGCUGUUUUAAAAUUAGGAUGGGGACAGACAUUCUUUUGUAUUCAAGAAGGGACUCUUUGGUCUGAUGUCCAAAGCUGGAGUGUUGCUGCUUCUGGAAAUGUCUUUGUCCUGGUUUCUGUGAUACCACACUCUCCUGGCUAUUUCUCGUCAGUUCUUUUUUUGGCCGGCUUCUACUGGACCUCUAAAUGUCGGACUGAUUCAGUCAGUGCUUGGUCUUUGACCCUCUUCUCUUUUUAGACCUUCUCUAACUAAAUAUUGGGAAAGCAUUAAAUAUUGAUAACUCUUAAAUUUAUAUCUUGACCCCUGACUUCUGCCUUGAUUUUCAUUUUCACAUAUCCAACUCUCUGCCUGAGUCUCCACUUGGAUAUUGAAUUGGAACUUUCUUUUCUUUUUUUAAUAUUUUUUAAUUGAAGUAUAGUUGAUAUUCAAUGUUUUGUUAUUUUCUCUGCACAGUGAACUGAUUCAGCCAGUUUGAAAUUAAAUAUUACGUCUUAAGUAGUCCCGUAAUUCAAGCUGCCCCCUCUCUCCCCCAUCUCUGCUCAAUUCUUUUUUUUUUUUAACAUCUUUAUUGGAGUAUAAUUGCUUUACAAUGGUGUGUUAGUUUCUGCUUUAUAACAAAGUGAAUCAGUUAUACAUAUACAUAUGUUCCCAUAUCUCUUCCCUCUUGCGUCUCCCUCCCUCCCAACCCUCCCUAUCCCACCCCUCUAGGUGAUCACAAAGCACAGAGCUGAUCUCCCUGUGCUAUGCGGUUUUCAAUUCUUGCAUUAAAGAAAUAAAACAAAAAACUCCUCACUGCAAAAGGGAAGACAAUCUUUUUUUCUAAUAGCAGAAAAGUCU